RNAcentral lists this long non-coding RNA (2446 nucleotides) under Panax ginseng (ginseng). Its description in RNAcentral is "long non-coding RNA (PGIN_LNC015858)". Lineage: Eukaryota; Viridiplantae; Streptophyta; Magnoliopsida; Apiales; Araliaceae. The record is from RNAcentral.
UGGGGACACGAAUGGGAUAAACAUGGCACCUGCUCCUCCGAGUCACUUGUUGAUCAGCAUGCUUAUUUUAAAGCUGCUCUUGACCUCAAAAACAAAGCUAAUCUCCUCCAAGCCCUUGACAAUGCAGGUAAUAUUAGUUUACUUAUUAANNNNNNNNNNNNNNNNNNNNNNNNNNNNNNNNNNNNNNNNNNNNNNNNNNNNNNNNNNNNNNNNNNNNNNNNNNNNNNNNNNNNNNNNNNNNNNNNNNNNCAGGAAUUAAACCAGCUAAUGGGAAAUAUUACAGCUUAGAGAGCAUCAAAGAGGCGAUUAAAGAAUCAACCGGGUAUACCCCAUUUAUAGAGUGCAACGUUGAUUCAUCAAGAAACCCGCAGCUUUACCAAGUGUACAUGUGUGUGGGCAAAUCUGGAUCAGAAUUCAUCAAAUGCCCUGUUUUUCCUCACGGAAGACCAUGUGCUUCUCAAAUUCAAUUCCCUUCUUUCUCACAAACCACCAACUCGCAUGAUCAAGAACUUUGAUCACAUUCACAUCCAUUAUAUAUAUAUGAAUUCAGCUAGAGGUUUAUUGUAUUUAAUUUACUUGAUUUGAUUUUGGUAAUAAAAGUACGUACGUGGAUGUACAAAUUACAAUUGUACGUGUUUCAUUAUUUAAUUCAGUUGUUAAGUCUUGUUUAGGCAAAGCUUGUUCAGAAGAAGAAUUAUAUAGAUCGAGUUCAAGUUCAGCUCAUUUAUUAUAUAUACUACUGGAAAUGAACUUAAAAUUGUGCUCCAAUUCAACCUCCUCUCGCAAAUGAAUGACACGUGAUUUUUCAAUUUAUUUUUUCUCAAAUGAUUCAAUGCCUUCUGUAAGUUGUGACUUAAUAACAUAUACACAUGCAUGCAUGCAUAUUAGUCUAUCCAAAACUUAGUGUAUUGAAUAAGUAGUAUUAUCUACCUUAUUUAACGGAUCCGAUGCAAUGAUUAAUACAAUAAAAAAUAAUAGUAAAAUGUAUUGAUGAUAAGUUAUAUUGGAUUCCUAUUUAACUAUUUCAAUUUGGACACUAUUAGUACUAGAAUAUCCCAUGGACAAGAUGCAUAGUGAUCCAAAAAAAGCUUUCUAUUACACCUUCUGUGUGCAAUUUAUCGAUCACUGUCCGUCCAGGGGCUCCACCACUUGAUCUAUUUUCAUAUUAUUUGACUUUUGUGCUACGUACGCUAGUAGACAGUUGUAGUAUAUUAAAAUAUCAAUACAUCCAGAUUUCUUUAUUGUAUUUAUUGUCAAUCGCCCAAUGCAUAGCCCACCAACUUUUACCAAGGAUUAAUUAAUUAGUACGUACUCUAUCAAUCAUACAUAUUUAAAAAGUAAAAAAAUUAAUUUUAAUGUUUUUAAUAGUCCCACAAAAUUUAUAAAAUAAUAAGUAAUUUUGUUUUUUUUCUAUUAAUAAAUCUAUAUAAUUACAUUUUAUAUAUUUUAUCUCUUUUUUUAAAAAAUAAUAAUUAUACUUUUAAUUUUCCUUUAAAGAUUGAGAAAUUUUGAAACAAUAACUCGCUGUAUUCAAGUCGGGCAGAAAUUACAAAUGGGGAGCUGAGAUCAUGGGCCUCCACGCAAACUAUGGAUUUUUAAAAUAAAAAACAAAAACAAAAUAAAGGGUAUACUUUAGAGGAUAUGCCUUUUUGUUUUAUUUGUGGCUGGUCUGGCUAUAAGACCACACCACACUCACCAGUAUAUUGCAAGUAAUCGCCUUUAAAACAAAAGAAAAAAGUAGGGUCUCCAACAAGAGAGGGAGGGAAAGAAGAAAUGAGAUCAUAUUUUAGUUACAAGGGGUCAAUAUGGAUCAAAGUAUUGGUGAUACAAUGGCUGACACUUGUUUGUGUUUCCAGAGAUUUUGAUUUCUACUAUUUUGUUCAGCAGGUCCCUCCCCUCACCUCACCUCCUCCAUAUAUAUAUAUAUAUAUAUAUAUAUAUAUAUAUAUAUAUAUAUAAAUUCAUUCUUUCUCUACAUAUGAACUAACUAACUAGGCCCUGGCGCAGGCAUCUAUCUAUCUAUGCUAUGCCAUGCUAAUCUUCUAUUAAUAAUCAUAUGUGCAGUGGCCGGUCUCAUACUGUGAUACCAAGAAAAGUUGCUGCUACCCGACAACAGGGAAGCCAGCUGAAGACUUUGGGAUUCAUGGGUUUUGGCCUAAUUACAUCGAUGGCUCUUAUCCUUCUAACUGUGAUUCUCGCAACACAUUCGAUGCUUCUCAGGUAUUAAAUUCCAUUAUUCUCCAUCAUCAUCAUCGUCUCUCUCCCAUCAUGAUGUUAUAUUUCAACACAUUUUAAAUCUGGACCCAUCAAUAAAUUAGAGACUCUCCAAUUCAUUUGAAAUGGAGACGAUCCUAAUUCUUCCGGGUAUAUAUUAGUUAUAUCUCUUUAUAUAUUAGUUCUUAAUUAGUUAUUAUUACUGGCUAGCUAGCUAGCUAGUAAGUAAGUU